ACGCAUGACUAUGACGUCAAGAUGCGCAAUGUCAUGAGAUUCCUCGAAUCGGGUGACAAGGUCAAGAUCACGCUGCGCUUCCGUGGCCGCGAGAUGGCGCACCAGAAUCUGGGGCUGGAACUGCUGAACCGCGUCAGGGACGAUGUCGACGAGAUCGGAAAGAUCGACUCCAUGCCCAAGAUGGAAGGUCGACAGAUGGUCAUGAUGAUCUCGCCGCGCUGAUCGGGGCACGAGUGAUCGCGAAAUUCGGGCCGCGCAGGCAUCGCCGCGCGGCCUUUGCUUUGAGGGGGACAAGAUGACCGA
This 303-nucleotide unclassified non-coding RNA is filed under the name Paracoccus saliphilus. Its description in RNAcentral is "Long range pseudoknot". The record is from RNAcentral. Lineage: Bacteria; Pseudomonadati; Pseudomonadota; Alphaproteobacteria; Rhodobacterales; Paracoccaceae.